RNAcentral lists this ribosomal RNA (253 nucleotides) under uncultured bacterium. RNAcentral describes it as "partial 16S ribosomal RNA". It matches the Rfam family "Bacterial small subunit ribosomal RNA", at positions 524 to 776 of the family's 1533-position model. The record is from RNAcentral.
UACAGAGGUCCCGAGCGUUGUUCGGAUUCAUUGGGCGUAAAGGGUGCGUAGGCGGUUAGGUAAGUUUGAUGUGAAAUCCUGGGGCUCAACCCUGGAACUGCAUUGAAUACUGCUUGACUAGAGUACUGGAGAGGAAACUGGAAUUUACGGUGUAGCAGUGAAAUGCGUAGAGAUCGUAAGGAAGACCAGUGGCGAAGGCGAGUUUCUGGACAGUUACUGACGCUGAGGCACGAAGGCUAGGGGAGCAAACGGG